Molecule: long non-coding RNA, 2471 nt
Organism: Lagopus leucura (white-tailed ptarmigan)
Lineage: Eukaryota; Metazoa; Chordata; Aves; Galliformes; Phasianidae
Exons: 4
Source: RefSeq, a predicted model, not a curated record
AGGAGGAGCAUCAGCAGGCAGCGCUGCAGUGCGCGGCGUUGCAGGGCAGCGUUCCGAGUGCCGCCCCACUCGGCACCCCGAGUUUGGUUGUAGUCAAUAAAAAACAGCCACAAUUAGACAUCGACAAAGAGCACAUGGCCUGAUUUGUCCUGUAGCAUUCCAUGAGCUGCUGCACUCCUACUGGUCCAGAGUAGAACCUCUGCAGCUUUGGAGCACCAAGCCGCCAUCCUGGCACGGUUUUUGGAGGCAGUGCUCCAAGCUUUGGGCUGUAAUACCCCUGACAAUGAAAACACAACUUGCAUUUUAACGCGACACUGCUGUGCUUUGUACCAAAUCAGUGCUCCUUGGGUCUCUGAGGUAGGACAGGGUGAAGGGGAGCGGCGUGAAGCUGUGUGCAGGAAAUCUGAGGGUGGGAGGGCACUGCCAAACCCAGCUGGUGCAUCUCUGUGCAGUUUUGCCUUCCCAAGAGAAACCCAGAGCUUCCCGGUAGUUUUCUGCUCCUGUACUGCAGUGUGAGCAUAAGGUUCUGCUGCCUCCUUCUUCUGGAAGAUCCUCUGCAGCCAUGGACAUCUGAUACAGGCACCUGUCCUUUUCUGUUUGUUUUUUAAUCAGGACACAUUAUGCCUGUUGUGUUUUCUGCACGUUACUUACCAAAGUCACCAUGAAAGGGUUUUGAUUUUCCUGCAGUCAGAUUUGCUCUCAUGUAACAAGCUUCUAUGACAGAGUCCAUCUGACUUUUGAAAUUAUUUUGUUGAGGUUCAAGACAUUCUAGUCUUUAUAGUUUAUAGUCUUUAUAGCACCACCCUUCCCUCCUGCUUAUAAGUUCCCAUUUAAUUACUGGAAGGCCACAUCAGGUUUCCCCAGAGCAUUCUCUUCUCCAGACUGAACAAGCCCAGCUCUCACUGCGGGCUCAGGUGAAGUUUUUCGUCCACCAGGACGCUGAAGUCCUUCUCAGCAGGGCCACCCUCCAUGAGUUCUUCUCCCAGCCUGCACAGAUAUCUGGGGUUGCCCUGACCCAGGUGCAACACCCUACACUUGGCCUGGCUGAAUCUCAUUAGGUUCACGUGCUCCCUCCCAGAUGAAGAUUUUGAAACAGCUCUGUGAAGAAAUGAAAGAACCUUGAGAGCAACAAGAGUUCUUUCAGGCUGGACGUUAGGAAAAACUCCUCCAAUAGAGUGGUUGGGCCCUGGACACACUGCCCAGGGAGGGACUGCAGUCAGAUUCCCCGGAGGUGUUCAGGAAAUGUUUAGGUCUGCGUAUGGGAACUGCUAAUUCAGAGCCUGAACCUCUGAUUGAUCACCUGAGGCGAGCCAUGAAUCAGCCAGAGGAGCACAGUGAAGGCAAUUCAGCUGUGCUGCCCUCCUGGACGUAUUUAAGAGCUGGCUGCCAGUAGGGAAGGAGCUCUUCUGGAGAUUGGCCCUGCUGGGGUUCUGUGAGUGAGCCCUGGGUAGGGCCAAUGAUUUUCUGUACAAGAGAAACUUCUCAAAAAACAGGACAGUUCUCCUGGAUGCAUACCCUGGGGAGGAUUUCAGGUCAGAACGCUGAGGGCGGGCAGCCGUUUCUCUGCUUCUCUUUAUCCUUUCCCUACAAGUCGCCCAGCUGCAGUGUCUUGCUCCCAGCACCUCCCAAAAACCCUUUCUAUUCCCACCAGGGAUCUAAAGGAGAGCACGUUGGAAGCAAAAAGUCUCCUCUCUGGCUUCCCACUUAGCUACACCUUUCACAUGCAGCAAAAUCGUGGGCUUUGCUCUGCUCUGUGUGUCACUGGAAGAGAGCACCGCAUUGGAAAAUGAGGAUCUCGGGGUCCCAGGGCUCUGAGGAACGUGGCCACCACAUCUGUCAGAGCCAAGGGGACUUGGGAGAGUCCCCAUCGUCCCUCUUCAAAGAGAUGGCACCAAGUCGCUCCUAUUAUGAGAGCGACAGGAGGUUCUAGUCUAUGUUCACGUCUUUAUCCUCAACAGAAUAACUUUUAAAAGCCAGAUGGCCUCUGCUAUAGAAGCAGAUGUCAAAUGUGGCUUUUCUCCAUUGAAAACUGAUGCCUGGCAACUUGGAGACUAACAUAUAUGUGUAUAGAGAUGUUUUUUUCCCUUUUAAUUUUAGUAGUAAACUGAGUCUAUACUUUUAAUUCGUGAUGAAAUGCUAAAAAUGUGUACUCUUCUUUUCUGCCAGUGCUUGGCUGACGGAGUUUUUGGCCGUUCUGUGGCAUGGAAUGCAACCAGCAUGGAAGCAUCGUUGUGGAUUCUGAGUAAGAUUUCUCACCCUCUGCUCGUGAUGGCAGUGGUGACCAGCUCAGAUGUGUUGGAUGGUAUCGUGGACACUGAGGAGCUGCUCACCUGGAUCAGCGACAUGGCAGGUGCUCUCGAGGAUCCCCAGGAGAACCAAGAUGGUUCCAAAGUCAGAAAUACCUGAAGGGUGACCUGCUUCAGGACGAGCUGCUGGGGGAAGUAGACAGCCAGGAAAGAGAACAACUCAUU